UACAGAGGGUGCGAGCGUUAAUCGGAUUUACUGGGCGUAAAGCGUACGUAGGCGGCUUUUUAAGUCGGAUGUGAAAUCCCUGAGCUUAACUUAGGAAUUGCAUUCGAUACUGGGAAGCUAGAGUAUGGGAGAGGAUGGUGGAAUUCCUAGUGUAGCGGUGAAAUGCGUAGAGAUUAGGAAGGAACACCAGUGGCGAAGGCGACUACCUGGACUGAUACUGACACUGAGGUGCGAAAGCGUGGGGAGCAAACAGG
RNAcentral lists this ribosomal RNA (254 nucleotides) under uncultured Acinetobacter sp. RNAcentral's name for it is "partial 16S ribosomal RNA". It matches the Rfam family "Bacterial small subunit ribosomal RNA", at positions 524 to 776 of the family's 1533-position model. The record is from RNAcentral. Lineage: Bacteria; Pseudomonadati; Pseudomonadota; Gammaproteobacteria; Moraxellales; Moraxellaceae.